Molecule: non-coding RNA, 21 nt
Filed under: Arabidopsis thaliana (thale cress)
Lineage: Eukaryota; Viridiplantae; Streptophyta; Magnoliopsida; Brassicales; Brassicaceae
Source: RNAcentral
CGCCAUCCACAAGCUUGCGGU